UACAGAGGUCUCAAGCGUUGUUCGGAUUCAUUGGGCGUAAAGGGUGUGUAGGUGGCGCCGUAAGUCGGGUGUGAAAUUUCGGAGCUUAACUCCGAAACUGCAUUCGAUACUGCGGUGCUUGAGGACUGGAGAGGAGGCUGGAAUUCAUGGUGUAGCAGUGAAAUGCGUAGAGAUCAUGAGGAAGACCAGUGGCGAAGGCGGGUCUCUGGACAGUUCCUGACACUGAGACACGAAGGCCAGGGGAGCAAACGGG
Molecule: ribosomal RNA, 253 nt
Filed under: uncultured bacterium
Lineage: Bacteria
Description: partial 16S ribosomal RNA
Rfam family: Bacterial small subunit ribosomal RNA
Source: RNAcentral